RNAcentral lists this ribosomal RNA (253 nucleotides) under uncultured bacterium. RNAcentral's name for it is "partial 16S ribosomal RNA". It matches the Rfam family "Bacterial small subunit ribosomal RNA", at positions 524 to 776 of the family's 1533-position model. The record is from RNAcentral.
UACGUAGGGGGCAAGCGUUGUCCGGAAUUCUUGGGCGUAAAGAGCGUGUAGGCGGCCAGAUAAGUCCGCUGUGAAAUCUCGAGGCUCAACUUCGAGCUGUCGGUGGAAACUAUCUGGCUAGAGUCCGGAAGAGGAGAAUGGAAUUCCUGGUGUAGCGGUGAAAUGCGCAGAUAUCAGGAAGAACACCCGUGGCGAAGGCGGUUCUCUGGGACGGUACUGACGCUGAGACGCGAAAGCGUGGGGAGCGAACAGG